UGGAAGAGCAGAACGUCUGCGCUGGAAUGAAAAUGGUUCAGCCUGGACAGCAUGGCGACAAAACGUUUCAAGAGGCAGGAUGGUUCAGAGGGCCCAGGCACGAGAUGCUGUCCAGAUGCCUCUCCUCCACCUCAACUGAAGUGCUCAUUCCAUGAGUCAGCGUGUCGAUCUCUGGCUGGGAGCUGGAGAGAGAGGCGGCUGUUUUUCUCAGAGCUCUGCUCCCGGGGCUGCUGCCAUUUUUUUUUUUUUUUUUGCCAGACAAUGGCAGAUGGGAAUGCUUGGAUAUUAGUGGAGGCCUUCUACGUGCUUGGACAUGCCAUACAAAGUUCAACAGUGUCACGCACCGUCUCUGACUGCUGCCAUGUAUCACUUGCGAAUGUGUUUUCUCACUGAGCCUCUUAGGUAACUUGUAUGCUGUAAAAACUUGUAGCAGCAUGCUUCUCUGUUUGCCUUCUCAAAGAUCCCCAGAAUUUGUUCCAAUAAAACAUCAUUACUCUGAUUAAUAUUGUCAUUACAAAUUGCUUAUAGUGUUUGGAGAGCAAACCUUUAAAUCCAGACACAGUUUUGAGACAGGGCCAUUUGCUCUGAGGUUAAACCCCACGCACCUGCUUCCUUAUUACCAUAUGAAGCAACAACAGGCUCAUUUUAAGGUCCAACAUAAAUUAACUUGCGUCCUUUUGAAUAGGGGGAAGCCUAUCUGGUUUCUAUGGGACGACCUUUCACUGCUACUAAUGCGUUUUCCUCCUGCUAGCAGGCCGUGAUGUUGAGGAAAGAGACGUUUCACACAAACUGCAGAAACUGGCCGCUGCUUCACUCCUUCUUAAUCCACACGCUUCAGUCUUGACACUUUUACGGGUGGACAGUCAGCGGAGAGGAGAAGUCGCACUGCUGUGAACCACAACAAUCCCCUUAGUUACAGUAGCUGAGAAUCUGGCAGCGGCGGAAACACACAGAUGUGGAAGAUCAGAUUUCAGAUGACUGCUGAUACUCCAGUGACUCCAACAAGCCUCUGCAACAGCAGGGCAGCGUGGCUUAGAGUUGGACUGUAUCUGAUUACAUUUUCCAGGAUUGAUUACGGUUUUGAAGCGCUGACCAGGCCGACCCGGACCUUAUCUUGCUUGAAUUGAGGCUGUUACCUGGUUGUCGAUCUUGGACCGGUCUUCUGACCACAGCUUGGAUUUGCCCUCCUGGAUCCUUUGGUUCAUCUGUGGGCUCUAGCUGCUGCAAGACACUGUCCUCUUUUCUUCUCGAUCUCUGGUUCCAGGUUGGUAACAAGCAACAGAUUUCCGCUCCUCUGGACAUCACUCAUACUUCGGGGCUAGGACUGAACUUUGCCAGGUUGGUGGCUAUCAUGCUCAUUGUUGUUCCUCGUUUGAGUUUUGAAGUCACUGACCUGAGCCUCUAUUCCUGCAGAGAAUCCUGUGAGCCCGCUGCAGCUGACAAUCAGCUGCACAGCGUUAAUUUAAUAAACGCUUUGAUCUUUCCCACUGUCUGUCUCGCCUUGAAUAUUGGUUCCAAAGUCCUGAGUACAUUACAGUAGGAUGUUGAAAUAAUGAUUUCAGUCAUGUACACAUCUGGCCUUUUAACAAUUGACAAGUGACAAUUGGGAUUUAAUGGAAGACUUGAGCUUGAUUUGAAUAUCUCAAAUCGGUAAGGACAUUUAAGCCAUGGCUGAAGUGCAUCAGCUGUCACCAUAAUGAAUGCUAUCUGAACAGUGCUGGCAGUAAAGAGGGAGCAAGGAUGAGGAAGCAGGAUUCUUCCUAAUGCCAGUUCAGUUAACAUAGGGACCUUCAGAUGUUCCUAGCUGCUGUUAGGACCUAGAAGGUUGCCUAUAUGACAGGAUAUAGAGGCACAGCCCACUUCAUGGGGUUUACCAAAAUAC
Molecule: long non-coding RNA, 1882 nt
Organism: Cyprinodon tularosa
Lineage: Eukaryota; Metazoa; Chordata; Actinopteri; Cyprinodontiformes; Cyprinodontidae
Exons: 3
Source: RefSeq, a predicted model, not a curated record